UCGAGAAUGCCAUACGAUAGCUUCUCUUUCUAGUUUUUUGUUUUUUUUUUCUUUUUUCUGUAGUUUUUCUCUUCCAAACAUAAAGAUGACUUUUAUUUUUAUCAACGACCACAAUACUAGAACGAAAUAGUUCCUCCAAGUUAUCCAAAAGCUAGAAGACAAAGGUGAUGACCAUGCACGGUUCCAACAUUAUAACUUUUGUUUGACCACAGGAACUGGAAGAAGGGACACAAGAAAGCGAAAUCACAGACAGCCACGUGUGCGGGCAAAGAUCUUGAAAUUUGAUCCAACGUAUACAAUAUUAUCAUAUGAUGGUUUCAACGUGAAAAAUAAAAAAAUACAGUGUGGUUCCAACAAAGGAUGACUCAUAACAAUACUAGGCAACAAGAAAAAGCACAUUAAACAACCCAAUCAACUUCAUCAUAAGAACACU
This 433-nucleotide long non-coding RNA is filed under the name Malus domestica (apple). Its description in RNAcentral is "long non-coding RNA (MDOM_LNC007854)". Lineage: Eukaryota; Viridiplantae; Streptophyta; Magnoliopsida; Rosales; Rosaceae. The record is from RNAcentral.